AUUCUGAUUUUCAGUUCGACGUAAGUAGUUAUCUCUUUAUAUACCAUAAAAAAAGAGAGACACAUACGGAAGAGUCAUCGAUUGCUCAUACAAAAGCCACGACAAUGAGAGAGGGUGAACUCGUAAAUAAUUGAUCGGCAAGUCCUCGUAUUAAUAACGGCAACAGCAUCGAAGUACCGGGAUCGUGUCAAGGACCACCCGUUGUGAUUCGAGCGACACUCUGCCGGGGACAGACGACACGACACAAUCAACGGACUCUCCCUUCCACAGGGCUAUGCUCAAGAAGAGCGUUGACCGCGUACCACGUUCUCAAUCCUAUCGGCCAUCUUGAUGUCAUUCUACAUUCUCCGCGAUGCGACGAGUAAUUAAAACGUAGUCAGCGCUAUCUGAGAGAUCCCUCGGCGGUGAUUAAAGUCGCCUAACUGAUGCGAGCACACGAGACAUCACCGUACCAUCUGCAUCAACAUAUUAUGUAUUUACUACAUAUACUUUUUUAUAUACACCGUUCUGCACAGAAACGCCACUCGAUUUCGAACAGUGCCGCUAAUUUGCGCGUGGCUCGUCGCCGCUUAAUUAAUCCGCGCUACCGAGAGGGAAACAAGAAGGGAGAACCACCGUCACCACCAUCGUCACUACUACUAACCACCACCAUCGCCACCAUCACCACCACCACCACCACCAUUACCACCAUGACCAUCACCGUCACCAUCACUAUCAGCACCAUUACCAUCAUAGUCACUAGAACUAUAGGAGGUAAGUCGUUCCUCGAGAAGUUCACCGUGAGAUUUCCAACGACUUCUCAAACUUCUUAUUUCAAAAGGGACAAAAAAAAAGGGAAUGAGGCCUAAUGACAAACGUCAAAGAAACGAAUGCCAUGUUGGCAAAAGAGAUAAAGAGAUAUAGAAAGAAAAAAAAUUACACUCGUUAGCGUCGGCUUAGCGAAAGACGGCAAAUCGAUUAAUAUUAAUAUUUAUAGAAGUUACACGAGCAUUCAGAAUAAAUGAAGCAUAACGGUGCU
Molecule: long non-coding RNA, 1018 nt
Organism: Vespula pensylvanica (western yellowjacket)
Lineage: Eukaryota; Metazoa; Arthropoda; Insecta; Hymenoptera; Vespidae
Exons: 3
Source: RefSeq, a predicted model, not a curated record